RNAcentral lists this ribosomal RNA (229 nucleotides) under uncultured bacterium. RNAcentral's name for it is "partial 16S ribosomal RNA". It matches the Rfam family "Bacterial small subunit ribosomal RNA", at positions 568 to 796 of the family's 1533-position model. The record is from RNAcentral.
CGCGUAGGCGGCCUGGUAAGUCAGAUGUGAAAGCCCGGGGCUUAACCCCGGCAGUGCAUUUGAUACUGUCAGGCUUGAGUAUGGGAGAGGGAAGUGGAAUUCCUGGUGUAGAGGUGAAAUUCGUAGAUAUCAGGAGGAACACCGGUGGCGAAGGCGACUUCCUGGACCAAUACUGACGCUGAGGCGCGAAGGCGUGGGGAGCAAACAGGAUUAGAUACCCUGGUAGUCC